Molecule: ribosomal RNA, 504 nt
Filed under: uncultured bacterium
Lineage: Bacteria
Description: partial 16S ribosomal RNA
Rfam family: Bacterial small subunit ribosomal RNA
Source: RNAcentral
GACGAACGCUGGCGGCGUGCCUAAUACAUGCAAGUAGAACGCACAGUUUAUACCGUAGCUUGCUACACCAUAGACUGUGAGUUGCGAACGGGUGAGUAACGCGUAGGUAACCUGCCUGGUAGCGGGGGAUAACUAUUGGAAACGAUAGCUAAUACCGCAUAAUAUUAAUUAUUGCAUGAUAAUUAAUUGAAAGGUGCAAUUGCACCACUACCAGAUGGACCUGCGUUGUAUUAGCUAGUAGGUGAGGUAACGGCUCACCUAGGCGACGAUACAUAGCCGACCUGAGAGGGUGAUCGGCCACACUGGGACUGAGACACGGCCCAGACUCCUACGGGAGGCAGCAGUAGGGAAUCUUCGGCGAUGGACGAAAGUCUGACCGAGCAACGCCGCGUGAGUGAAGAAGGUUUUCGGAUCGUAAAGCUCUGUUGUAAGAGAAGAACGGGUGUGAGAGCGGAAAGUUCACACUGUGACGGUAUCUUACCAGAAAGGGACGGCUAACUACGU